RNAcentral lists this ribosomal RNA (492 nucleotides) under uncultured bacterium. RNAcentral's name for it is "partial 16S ribosomal RNA". It matches the Rfam family "Bacterial small subunit ribosomal RNA", at positions 29 to 507 of the family's 1533-position model. The record is from RNAcentral.
AGUGAACGCUGGCGGUAGGCCUAACACAUGCAAGUCGAACGGCAGCACGGUAAGAGCUUGCUCUUACGGGUGGCGAGUGGCGGACGGGUGAGGAAUACAUCGGAAUCUACUUUUUCGUGGGGGAUAACGUAGGGAAACUUACGCUAAUACCGCAUACGACCUACGGGUGAAAGCAGGGGAUCUUCGGACCUUGCGCGAUUGAAUGAGCCGAUGUCGGAUUAGCUAGUUGGCGGGGUAAAGGCCAACCAAGGCGACGAUCCGUAGCUGGUCUGAGAGGAUGAUCAGCCACACUGGAACUGAGACACGGUCCAGACUCCUACGGGAGGCAGCAGUGGGGAAUAUUGGACAAUGGGCGCAAGCCUGAUCCAGCCAUACCGCGUGGGUGAAGAAGGCCUUCGGGUUGUAAAGCCCUUUUGUUGGGAAAGAAAAGCAGCAGGUUAAUACCCCGCUGUUCUGACGGUACCCAAAGAAUAAGCACCGGCUAACUUCGUG